Molecule: ribosomal RNA, 459 nt
Filed under: uncultured bacterium
Lineage: Bacteria
Description: partial 16S ribosomal RNA
Rfam family: Bacterial small subunit ribosomal RNA
Source: RNAcentral
CCUACGGGUGGCAGCAGUGAGGAAUAUUGGUCAAUGGGCGCGAGCCUGAACCAGCCAAGUCGCGUGAGGGAAGACGGUCCUAUGGAUUGUAAACCUCUUUUGUCGGGGAGCAAAAGACGCCACGCGUGGCGUUCCGAGAGUACCCUAAGAAAAAGCAUCGGCUAACUCCGUGCCAGCAGCCUCGGUAAUACGUAGGUGGCAAGCGUUAUCCGGAAUGACUGGGCGUAAAGGGUGCGUAGGGGGUUUAGUAAGUUGGCGGUGAAAUUCCGGGGCUCAACCUCGGCGCUACCGCGAAAACUAUUAGACUGGGGGGCAGGAGGGGUGAGUGGAAGUCCUGGUGUGGCGGUGAAAUGCGUGGAUAUUAGGAGGAACAUCAGGGGCGAAGGCGACUUACUGGACUGUAACUGACACUGAGGCACGAAAGCGUGGGGAGCAAACAGGAUUAGAUACCCUUGUAGU